CACGUAGGGUGCGAGCGUUGUCCGGAAUUAUUGGGCGUAAAGAGCUCGUAGGCGGUGUGUCGCGUCGGCCGUGAAAACCUGCAGCUUAACUGUGGGCGUGCGGUCGAUACGGGCAGACUGGAGUACUGCAGGGGAGACUGGAAUUCCUGGUGUAGCGGUGGAAUGCGCAGAUAUCAGGAGGAACACCGGUGGCGAAGGCGGGUCUCUGGGCAGUAACUGACGCUGAGGAGCGAAAGCGUGGGGAGCGAACAGG
RNAcentral lists this ribosomal RNA (253 nucleotides) under uncultured bacterium. RNAcentral describes it as "partial 16S ribosomal RNA". It matches the Rfam family "Bacterial small subunit ribosomal RNA", at positions 524 to 776 of the family's 1533-position model. The record is from RNAcentral.